AUAUCCUACGGGGGGCAGCAGUGAGGAAUAUUGGUCAAUGGGCGGAAGCCUGAACCAGCCAAGUCGCGUGAGGGAAUAAGGCCCUACGGGUCGUAAACCUCUUUUGCCGGGGAGCAAGGGCCGGGACGCGUCCCGGCCCGGAGAGUACCCGGAGAAAAAGCAUCGGCUAACUCCGUGCCAGCAGCCGCGGUAAUACGGAGGAUGCGAGCGUUAUCCGGAAUUAUUGGGCGUAAAGAGCGCGCAGGUGGUUAAUUAAGUCUGAUGUGAAAGCCCGCGGCUUAACCG
This 285-nucleotide ribosomal RNA is filed under the name uncultured bacterium. Its description in RNAcentral is "partial 16S ribosomal RNA". It matches the Rfam family "Bacterial small subunit ribosomal RNA", at positions 334 to 615 of the family's 1533-position model. The record is from RNAcentral.